Lycium ferocissimum is the source of this 5486-nucleotide RNA transcript. It is a transcript of the gene named histone-lysine N-methyltransferase ATX2-like, with no coding region annotated. The transcript has 28 exons. The record is from RefSeq and is a predicted model, not a curated record. NCBI's taxonomy places the organism in Eukaryota, Viridiplantae, Streptophyta, Magnoliopsida, Solanales, Solanaceae.
CUCGCCACCGUCAUUAAACCCCAAUUUCACCGAUCGAGAAACUGAUUUUGAAUUAAUCACCCUGCUUUUCUACUUCCCCCUACUAGUUCAUUCAAGAUCUUCUUACAUGAAUUCAAAUUUAGUCGGCAAAAAAUGGAGCAUUACAUUACAUUUAUAGAAAAUGAAACAAAUCUUCUCCUUUCCCCUUCAUAUAAAUACGCCGUGUAUUGACACCCGGCGGGAAAACUUACAUUUUGCCCCAAAACCUCCCUCUUAAAACCACCACUCUCUCCCCCAAUUUCCCUCAAUUCUGUCGAACCCUAAAAAUCCCAAAUCCCUCAAUUCUUUCGAACCCUAAAAUUCCAUUGCAAAUUCACUCCUUUACGACCAAAACCAGUGAACAAAAUCAAUAUCAAAAUCAAAUCGAAUUUGAUUUUUUUUUCUCGUUUUUUUUAUUUAUUUUUACUCUCAAUUCAAUGGCGUUACCUCUUUCACCCGAGGAAAACGCGAUUUCUAAGCCGCCAUUACAGGUAGAUGACGUGGAUGACGAUAGAGACGACGUCACUACUCCGCGGAAGUACGUACCGCUAUGCGAUGUGUACUCUGCUACCUCCCCUUACGUCGGCGGCGCUAGUGGGAGUAAAAAAGUAAAAGCCGCUCGUAAAAUCACUCCCAAUUUGGAGACUGAUGAUCAACGAAAAAGGAAACUUCCGAUUACUCAGUUUUACACUCGUCGGUGUAAAAGGAAACGACAGGAACCGUCAUUUUACGACUCGUUAGUUUCUCAAUCGGAGAAACUAGGGUUUGAUUACGGCGGCGAGGGUGAAAAUGAGGGCGGAGAGGAGGGAGUAGGUGUAAGAUAUAAGGAGAAGCAGAAGAGAAAGGUGAGUAAUUCAAAACCGUUUUCUCGAUCGGUGAAUGUAGCUAAUUUAUCCGAUGAAAAUAGAGAAAACGAGGGCGAAGGUGAUAAAACAGUUGUAAAAAGUAAGAGAAAAGUGGGCAAUUCAAAGCUAGAUAGAGAUGAUAGGAUAGACGAGGGCGAAGACGAGGAACUGUUUAUAAAGAGUAAGGAGAAGCCGAAGAGAAAAUUAGGGUUAUGUGAUGGAAGUAGCGAAAACGAGGGCAGAGACAACGAAAUGGCUUUAAAGAGUAAGGAGAAACUGAAGAGAAAAGUGGGCAAAUCAGGGAAUUUAUGUGAUGAAAAUAGAGAAAAUGAGGGCAAAGAAGGGGAAAUGGUAAUAAAGAGUAAGGGUAAAGUGGGAAAUUUAAAGCUAGUUUCUCACUCGUCAAAGUUAGCGAAUUUUUCCAAUGGAAAUAGCGAAGAUGAGGGCGACGCGGACGAGGAAAUGGUUACAAGGAAUAAAGAGAGGCGGAAGCGAAAAGUGGCUAAUUCAAAGCUAGGUUCUCACUCGGCAAAAUUAGCGAAUAGAGAAGUCGGGGCCGAAGACAAGGAAAUGGCUAUAAAUAGUAAGGAUAAGCCUAAGAGGAAUGUGGGAGAUUUGAAGCUAGUUUCUCACUCUGGAACUGAGGGCGAAGAAGAGGAAAUGGUUAUAAAGAAUAAGGAGAAUUUAGAAGUAGUGAAUUUUUGUGUCAAGAGUGAGAGGGACGACAAGGGAGAAGAUGAUGGAGUAGUGGUUGUGAAGCAUAUUAAUAAGAAGAAGGAGAAGAAGAGGAGGAAGUUGGUUAAUCCGGAGCUGGCAAAUUUGGGGGUAGAUGCUAAUAUAAUCGGUCAGUUGAACGAGUCCUGUUCCAGAGGAACGCGAAAUAGUGCUGGUAAAAAUAAAGUUGACACCAAUCACGGUGGUGACGAUUGCAAAAAUUCUAACUCCACGGGUAACAUUAAGAAGCGAAAGGAAAAUUGUAUUUUGGAGAAUCAUUUGAACAAUAAAAGCUCAGGGUCAAGGCGGACCAAGAAAUGGGUUUGGCUGAGUUUUGAAGGCGUUGAUCCCAAGAAAUUCAUUGGACUACAGUGUAAGGCAUAUUGGCCAUUAGAUGCUGAUUGGUACACUGGUCGCAUAAAUGGGUACAACUCGGAGACUGGACGGCAUCAUGUGAAAUAUGUAGACGGGGAUGAAGAGCAUUUACUUUUAUCAAAUGAAAGGAUCAAGUUUUCUGUUUCACUUGAGGAGAUGAAUCGUUUGAAGUUGAGACCCAGCGAUACGAGUCCUGAAACUGAUGCAAUUGAUGUUGAUGAGAUGGUUGUAUUAGCUGCUAGUUUGGAGGACUGUGAAGCUCUUGAGCCUGGAGAUAUUAUAUGGGCCAAGCUGACUGGUCAUGCCAUGUGGCCUGCCAUUGUUCUAGAUGAAUCUCUUGCUGGUGGGCGUAAAGGUCUAAACAAAGUUUCAGGGGAAAAUUCAGUUCUUGUGCAGUUUUUUGGCACCCAUGAUUUUGCUAGGGUCAAGUUAAAGCAAGUUAUCUCUUUCCUAAGAGGGCUUCUUUCUUCCUUUCACCUGAAGUGCAAAAAACCAAAAUUUGUUCAAGGUUUGGAGGAAGCAAAAAUGUAUCUUAGUGAACAGAAGCUCUCAAAGAGGAUGCUGCGGUUACAGAAUCGUAUCAAUGCAGAUAAUAAUACUGAGAGCGAAGAAGAUGAAGGCAGUUCUGAUUCAGAGGAUGAAGGGGGGUUGAGGAGAAAGCUUGAGGAUGUCAAAAAUUGCCCAUUUGAAUUGGGAGACUUGCAAGUAGUUAGCCUUGGUAAAAUAGUAGAAGAUUCGGAUCUUUUUCGAGAUGAGAAAUUUAUCUGGCCAGAAGGUUAUACUGCUGUGAGGAAGUUCCCCUCAGUAACAGAUCCCGGUGUACGUGUCUCAUAUAAGAUGGAGGUACUGAGAGAUCCUGAUUUCAGGACACGGCCUUUAUUUAGAGUUACAUCAGAUAGUGGAGAACAGUUUAAGGGAUCUACACCAUCUGCUUGCUGGAAUAAAGUUUACAAACGGAUGAGGAAGACACAAGUUGACAAUUUUGACGAAUCAGUAUCUGGCGGUGAAAGUGAAAGGACUUUUGGAUCGGGUUCUCAUAUGUUUGGCUUUUCUCAUCCUGAAAUUUUGAAACUUAUAAAGGAAUUAUCAAACUCCAGGCUUCUCGCAAAAUCAUUGAAAUUGGCGUCUUCGAAAAAUCAAGGCCUGCCUGCUGGAUAUAGGCCUGUCCGCGUUAAGUGGAAAGAUCUGGACAAAUGCAACGUUUGCCAUAUGGAUGAGGAGUAUGAGAAUAAUUUGUUUUUGCAGUGUGACAAAUGUCGAAUGAUGGUCCACGCUAGAUGCUAUGGGGAACGGGAGCCUAUGGAUGGAGUACUUUGGUUAUGCAAUUUGUGUCGUCCAGGGGCUCCAGUAGUCCCUCCCCCUUGUUGCCUGUGCCCUGUUAUUGGCGGUGCUAUGAAGCCUACAACUGAUGGACGUUGGGCUCAUCUUGCUUGUGCCAUUUGGAUACCAGAAACCUGCUUAUCUGAUAUAAAGAGAAUGGAGCCUAUUGAUGGUUUGAGAAGGAUCAGCAAGGAUCGCUGGAAGCUCUUGUGUAGCAUCUGUGGUGUUCCUUAUGGAGCUUGCAUUCAGUGCUCAAACCAUACAUGUCGGGUGGCUUAUCAUCCUCUUUGCGCACGGGCUGCUGGCUUCUGUGUUGAGCUUGAGGAUGAAGACAGAUUGCAUUUAAUCCCUAUGGAUGAUGAUGAAGAGGGUCAGUGCAUUCGGUUGCUUUCUUUCUGCAGGAAGCAUAGAGCUGUAUCUAGCGACCGUCCUGCUGUUGAUGAGUGUGUCGGACAAAAAGCUUGUGGAUAUUCAGACUAUACUCCUCCAUCAAAUCCUUCUGGAUGUGCUCGCAGUGAGCCUUACAAUUAUUUUGGAAGAAGAGGAAGAAAAGAACCUGAAGUCCUUACAGCUGCAUCUUUGAAGCGCUUGUAUGUAGAAGAUAGGCCAUAUUUGGUUGGUGGCCAUAGUCAGCACGAUCAAUCAAGCGACACAUUAUCUUCCUCAUUUGCUGGUUCUAGAUACAGUGUUGACCUUCAAAAGCUAAGGUGUUCACAGCUCGAUGUGUCAAGGAGCAUCCUUUCCAUGGUUGAGAAAUACAACUUCAUGAAAGAAACCUUUAGAAAAAGACUGGCAUUUGGGAAAUCUGGAAUACAUGGAUUUGGCAUCUUUACCAAGCUCCCUCAUAAAGCGGGAGACAUGGUAAUUGAAUACACUGGAGAACUUGUUAGACCUUCUAUUGCUGACCGAAGGGAGCAUCUAAUUUACAACUCACUAGUGGGUGCUGGAACAUACAUGUUUCGGAUUGAUGAUGAGCGUGUUAUAGAUGCCACAAGGGCUGGAAGCAUUGCACAUUUGAUCAACCAUUCAUGUGAACCAAAUUGCUACUCAAGGGUUAUAAAUGUCAACAGUAAUCCACAUAUAAUCAUAUUUGCCAAACGAGAUAUUAAACAAUGGGAAGAACUGACAUAUGAUUACAGAUUCUUCUCUAUCGAUGAACAACUCGCGUGUUAUUGUGGGUUCCCAAGAUGCCGAGGUGUAGUAAAUGAUACUGAAGCUGAGGAACGAAUGGCAAAGCAGUAUGCACCACGCAAUGAGUUAAUAGACUGGGGAGGAGAAUAAAAGAGAAAUUCUCCCUUCGAAGUGACGCGUCUUUGGUCGCUUGCUCCUUCUUGUGAUGGAGCAGGAGCCGGACUGGGAGAUGGAAGAAUGGAUGAUAAAUUUUAGUGAUAUAACAAGAUCACAAAAAUCAUGAAAUGCUGAUCGAUGGUUUAGAGUGGAGUAUCAAAAACUUACUUGCAAGAGAGGUUUUAAAUUUCACAAUUCUUUUAUUUUUCAUGAAGUGCAUAAAAGUAAAAGAGCACAGCCUCAAGAACAUCCAUGUUUAAAGCCACUGGGUGAAUCUGAACCACUGACUGUAGCAUGGGUGUCUCAGAUCUGUUCGUAUGCUCAGGUAAACCUUCACGCAUACAAACUCUUCCUAAGGUUGCAUCCAGAAGUUGUGGGAAAGAUGUGCUUGCAAGGGCUUGUAAUCUCGAAAAAGUGAGUAUUCAAGGAAAAAAUGAUUGAUUUUUUUUUUUAAGACUAACGAGGGUGAGUUCAACAACUUUGAAAAUCUAAAGUGGUUGAAACAUUUGAAGUUGUUGACUGAUAUUGGCUCUCUGAGGAAAGUUUCUUCAUCUUCCUCUAUAAUUCUUCGGCUCUCUAUGCAAACUGAAGAAUUUAACUUAUCCACAUACGAGGUCAGCUUAGACUCGGGCGAAUAGACUGCGAUACGGAGAUUUUAACCAACUCAAGGUACUGUGGGUUGGAAGGCAGACCUCAAAUCUUGGAAGGUUGUAAAUCUUCAAUUUCAGAAACAUUAGUACCUUGUCAUUAAAUCCUGCGAUGAGUGUGAGACUGUGCCCAUUGAGUUGGUUGAUGUGCGCAGCCUGCACGUGAUGACGUGGACAACACAAACAUGGAGAUCAAAUAUGCAAAAGCCAUUCAACGCAGGAAGCAAGAGAUGCAUCAAGAACACAUGACAAAUUUGGAGUAGAAAUCUAAGAUAAGAAA